RNAcentral lists this ribosomal RNA (484 nucleotides) under uncultured bacterium. RNAcentral describes it as "partial 16S ribosomal RNA". It matches the Rfam family "Bacterial small subunit ribosomal RNA", at positions 30 to 507 of the family's 1533-position model. The record is from RNAcentral.
AUUGAACGCUGGCGGCAGGCCUAACACAUGCAAGUCGAGCGGAUGAAGGGAGCUUGCUCCUGGAUUCAGCGGCGGACGGGUGAGUAAUGCCUAGGAAUCUGCCUGGUAGUGGGGGAUAACGUCCGGAAACGGGCGCUAAUACCGCAUACGUCCUGAGGGAGAAAGUGGGGGAUCUUCGGACCUCACGCUAUCUGCUGAGCCUAGGUCGGAUUAGCUAGUUGGUUGGGUAAAGGCCUACCAAGGCGACGAUCCGUAACUGGUCUGAGAGGAUGAUCAGUCACACUGGAACUGAGACACGGUCCAGACUCCUACGGGAGGCAGCAGUGGGGAAUAUUGGACAAUGGGCGAAAGCCUGAUCCAGCCAUGCCGCGUGUGUGAAGAAGGUCUUCGGAUUGUAAAGCACUUUAAGUUGGGAGGAAGGGCAGUAAGUUAAUACCUUGAUGUUUUGACGUUACCAACAGAAUAAGCACCGGCUAACUUCGUG